UACGGAGGGUGCAAGCGUUAAUCGGAAUUACUGGGCGUAAAGCGUGCGCAGGCGGUUUGUUAAGUCUGUUGUGAAAUCCCCGAGCUCAACUUGGGAAUUGCAAUGGAUACUGGCAAGCUGGAGUAUGGUAGAGGAAGGUGGAAUUCCCGGUGUAGCAGUGAAAUGCGUAGAGAUCGGGAGGAACACCAGUGGCGAAGGCGGCCUUCUGGACCAAUACUGACGCUCAUGCACGAAAGCGUGGGGAGCAAACAGGAUUAGAUACCCUGGUAGUCCACGCCCUAAACGAUGCGAACUGGAUGUUGGGUACAUUACGGUACUCAGUGUCGAAGCUAACGCGUUAAGUUCGCCGCCUGGGGAGUACGGUCGCAAGACUGAAACUCAAAG
RNAcentral lists this ribosomal RNA (384 nucleotides) under uncultured bacterium. RNAcentral's name for it is "bacterial SSU rRNA". It matches the Rfam family "Bacterial small subunit ribosomal RNA", at positions 524 to 906 of the family's 1533-position model. The record is from RNAcentral.